CUGUAUUAAACGUAGCACUUCCUCGUCCUCUGGAGCGCUCGGGUCCUGAGAACGGCUGUAAAGUAUGCGAGUGAAGAUUCUCCCACAUUGCAGAGGUUGCGGAGAGGUCGUGACCUCUGAGGGGAAAGGGGUCAAGAGCGGGCACUCCUCUCCACCUACCGGGCGCAAAACUUUUAAUCAAGCGCCCGUCAAUCACGCUGGAAUUUCACUGCAAGCUUGCACAGAUGGGAUUCGGUUCCCUUUCUGGUGCUCUUGUGUGUGUGUGUGUGUGUGUGUGUGUUUCGCAGUGAGUAAUACACUGUGUUCAGGUCACUGCUGGUGGAAACCGUCGUUCCAAAUGAUGCUUAUCCGCCUGCGUGUUAAAAGUCUGCUGCGUUACGGCAUUGCACGGUAUUGCAUCAUGGAAUCAGGAUGCAUUUGGGGCAGGAUGUGUCUUUCUCAAACGCUUCAAAUAAGAAUAAAAAAACCCCCGGCUGAAACGUUCGUACGUCGAGGUUCGGAUUCGGAGCGUUAUUAUUUGCCGUCGUUAUUAUUCGAAUUCUCCUCUUGGAUGAAUUUGGCGACGACGAGAUGUUUUUCACCUCGUUAAAAAGUGACGCUUUUUAUCCAUUUAUAGUUACGUUUAAUGUUGCGGAACAGCCCUGAAACGAGUUCUGGCGUUAAUAAUAAUAAUAAUAAUAAUAAUAAUAAUAAAAAACAACAACAGCUAGUCACGUUACCAAGAAACCGCAACGUGUAAGACUUUCCUGUAAAGUCAAAGCUUUACGCGCUGACACUGGAGACUCCUUCCGUAAGUGCUGCAUAAACACCUCCUCUCAGAACACUUCACACUACCGGCGAUUGCACGCGUUUUUUUUUUUAUCAGUUCAUGUGAACGAGCUGUUGCUAUAGAAAUGAUAACGUGUUUGGAUGAGCGUGUUGAUAUAAACCUGUCAGAGCUGCUGCUCUAGGGAAUUAAUCAACACCUCCUGACCAAUCAGAUUCCCAGAUCCCAGGGCUGGCGCGUUGUAUGGAAUGGUCACGUGUUCGAUACGAGUCCUGAAAAUAGGAUCCUUGUUGUUUCUUAUCGACAUUCUUUCCAUUCUUUCCGUUCCUUUUGCUCAUCCCUCUCAUCUCGUCGCUCCAGGCCGUCCGCGUUUGAAGUGGUCAGCGUCAGCGGUCAGUCCUCUUUCAGCUCGUCUCUUGUGGAGGGCCGGGCGGAGGAGUGUGUGCUGGAGUGGCACUCGGCUCGUCCGCUCGGCUCGUCCCCUCCGCCGCCUCUUUGAUGCCUUUAUUCGGCGCUGAUGCUCAUUCAGCCGUUAGUCGAGUGGGUGGUGAUUGUUAAGAGGCUCUCAGAGAGGCGAUGCCAGUCCUCCUGCCCACUCCCCGCCUCCCUGCCUCGCCCCCCUCCCCGGGGGGGUGGCCUCUUACUCCGCGCAUCCUUUCAAGUGCGCUUCGAGGCGGGAGGAGGAAGAGCUGGAGCACGCACUGCCUUUCUCUUUUGUUUUAGUUGAUGUUGUUGUUGGUGUCAGUGUCACUUGUAGAGGGUGAAAAGAGUGUGUAGGUUGAUUCGCAUUCAUUCAUUCACUCACUCACACACACACACACACACACACACACACACACACCAGCCUCCCAUUCAUUAAAGUUCAUUCGCAUUCCACUGGAGGCAUUGAAGUUUUCUCAUUCAUGAAGCUUCAGCAUCCUGUAGAGCUCAGCAGGACAUGUAUCCUUGUAUGUAAAUAAGCACACACACACACACACACACACACACACACACACACACACACACACACAUACAGAUCUAAUAUAAUACACAAAGACACACCCACACCCUAGGGUUUGUUUCAAUCUCUGCAUGGGAGACAGCCACCUUACUGCAACAAAAGACGUCACUGACAUCGACUUUCCUACAGGAAAUGGAUUAUAUAAGGAGCGUCACGGUCAUUUUGUCCGAGCGGAUCUUUUGAUCUGGGGCGUGCGAGUGUGCGAAGGACGUAUAUAGUGAGCACUCGUCCUGAUCUCACCAGGUUUUUUCACCGAGAGUAAAAUAAACUUUAUUUACUUUUGCGGUCGUCUCAAAUACAAUAGAAUGCAACACAGUGCAAUAGUAUACAAGCGUAGAUAGGAGUGUGUGUGUGUGUGUGUGUGUGUGUGAGAGAGAGAGAUCAAAGUAAGGUAGCUUCAGUAAGGUACACAGACAUUAUUAGGCAGAUUGGCUCUUUUAUAGUGUAAAUGGUUUCUCGGGCAGCUGGUCUGUGACGUCCGUGUUGAACUCGUCCGCUCCCGUUUCCUCUCAGCCGCGGCGUAACGGACGCUUUAUCGUCGCCUUGCGCGUUUGUCGUCUUUGGGUUUUUCCUCUCCGGCCCUACAGACAUCCUGCUGCGUUUCCCAGAGUAUCAUGACAGCUCUUUAGCAUUUCCUUUACUGCGAGGAGACGGAAAGAGACAGAAACGAGGUGGUCGAGAUGCGCAGCCGGGGGUCGGAGGGUUGUGAGUUUAACGCUCCGGCCACACGCAUGCACGUAUUUCUGAAAACUCUGUGUUUUCACACACACGCACAAAACCUCUCUUGGUAUUCUGUCGUAAACUGUAAACACGUUAUCAAGUGAGAACACAUUUUUGAAAACAUUGUUUGACCCAAAGUGUUGACAAAAUGCAGCGAAAAAACCCCACGUUCUCAAAAAUAUCUGUCUACAUGUGGGCGGGGCCUGCGUCAGGUAUUACUAUGUAUCCUCCUUAGUUUUUUUUCUUCUAUGGAUUUGUACCUACAAUGUUAAUAUACUAUAGCUAGUUAGUUUUAUUAAUAUAUUAUAUUAUAUACCUAGUUUUUUAUAUUAUAGGGUUUUUUAAAAAAAAUAAUAAACAUAUCAAUCAAAAGUGAGCUGUAAUAUCACUCGAGUCGCCUCUAAUGCACAGUUCCCGCCUUCAAACUUCUUUAGGCCACACCUCCUGCCUGAGACUGUGUGUGUAUGUGUAUGUGUGUGUGUGUGUGUGUGUGUGUGUUGGGCAGAACUAAUUCCCUGGGUAAUUAAUCACCUGUGCCUGUCAGUCCCGGUAAAGGAGGCGUGGCUUGUCCUAGUUUUGAGCAGUUCGUCUGAGAUUUACAGGCUUUUCACGUGUGGUUUUGACCACCGUGUGAAUUUCGACACUCGAACCCAAAAGAAAUCUUUCAGCCCUGGAAACCGGGGAAGAAAAACCCCUCGGGCAGACGUCAGUACAAUGUUCUGUGUCAGGUUAAACGGACAUAACGGUCAAAAUAAAGUAAACCGCAGUGGUGCCGUAGUUCUACUGCAGUAACGCCGCUUCCUCUAAUCCGUAAUUCAGCCCUUAUUGCUUUAGACACCGGGAUCCAUUUCCUCGUUGAGACGUUUAGAAACGUCUGUCAGUCCUCAUCGGGUUCCUGGUUGUGCCCCGAGGACUUUGGCGGCGUGUUUGGCGUUAAGGUGGGGAUUGCGUAAGCCGCGGCGGCUCCAAAAAACGCCGCCGAAGUCACAGAAAGAAUCGUUUCAGUCGCUGCUAAUCGGGGCUGAGUUGUGAGCUAAAGUGCGUGUGUGUGUGAGGAGGUGAGAGAGUGAGACCACUGUGUGGAUUCGGGUUCUUGCGGUUUGAAGUUUCACUCGCUGCUCGGAAAGCUUUUACGACGGUCUUUAACGAUGUAAGACAAACCGCACGUUCCACAAAUCGUAGACCAAAUCGUGUAACUCGGAGGAAAGUCCUCGCGUAUACACCCAGACACCACAGCACUCUCGUUACACAGCGUUCCUCAGAGGUGCUUUCACUGCUUAAACUCUUCUUUAAGAGCUUCCUGUCUGUUGCGCGGCUCCGUUGUGCCCGAGAAACCAACCCAAGCGUGGUACCUUCUUAGAUUUCUGAAGGAUUUAACAUGCAGGAACGAAAGACAACAAAAAAGGGUUCCGGGAGAACUUUUUCUGUGAUACUCGCCCUCACACAGUUCUGUGCUUGAGCUCGUCUCCUGCUUGCUCUCUCAUUAGCAUCGUACUCCGUUUGCACUGGUAUGGUACCAGUGCUGGUUCUGAGUUCAGCACCAAAUCUCGCCAGACUCCGGCGCUCUCGGUUUCCGUAAACAUCGGCGUUCACCGUACAAGUCCCUGUGAGCGAGCCGUCACUAUAGAGACGAUGACGUAUUCAAACAAGCGCGCUAGAAUGAAAUGGAAAGAUCUGUCAUUCCCACAUCUGAUCACGUUGAAGUUCGGCUCCUGACGUGAUGAAAAGCGGGUCGGUUCUGAACCCGAGAGCCUGGAGUUAAACCUCGACUGCUCUGCUCUGUUCUUGGAGAGGAUUUGUUUGCAAUAAAAGUUUCUGCCAAAUGAAUAAACACGAAGAUAAAACGCCAGACUGUGAGAACGAACUGUUGUUCGUUCUUUUAAGGAAUUCCAGCACGGUUCUGAGUGACGGCAGCACCCGGGUCGAUUCUGGGCCUCGUGAUUUAUGACAUUUCAUUAAACAUUUGCAUGCACGUCGGCCAAAUCCAACACCUUCCUUCCCUCAUCUCGGCCACGUUCUCUCUGCCAGAGAAAGAUGUGUGAAAAUGAUCAAACCGAACAGGAAACCUGUCCACCGGAGGGAAUAUAAGGGAGUUAGAACCUGGUACUGGGAAUCGUUUGAUCUUUUCUGAUGGAGGUCGUUGAUGUCUUUUAAAUCUUUAAGCUGACAUUUUAUCCACUCGCAAUUCCUGCAGGGGAAAUGAUUCCCCGUCUCAUCUCCCCGUCACCUUUCUCCUCCGUCCGAGUCCGAACGCAUCACGUCUGCGUCUGCGUCUCCACGUCUCGGCUCGAGGACUCGGAAACCGGAGCCGCGCGUCAGCUCUGGACGCCCUGAGUCCUGCGGUGCAGCUGGGUCUGCUCGUGCCAGACGCUGCCGGAUCUGCAGCACACACUCGUUUAUUAGUCUGAUCUGAAAGGGAAAUAAAAGCCCGGGCACGUUUCCAGUUUUUAACGUCUGCACGCACAAACAUCUCACGAAAUGUUGGAUAUGUUUUUUUUUGUUUUUUUGUUUUUUUAUCAAACAUGCAGGAUGAUGAUUAAAUACGGAUCGAUAUUAAACAGGUGUUUACGUUUAAUCUGCGUUCUCAUGGAUGGGGUGAGUGUUUUAUUAAAUUCAGGUGAACAUGGAGGGUAAACCAUAAUAUAAAUAUUAAAAGGGAUGUAGAAAUUCGGACAUUUUAAUAGAUCGCGAGUCUGUUUUUGUUUGUUUAUUCAGUUAUAGUGCUUGUUGCUGAAAUGUAAAACUUAAAAAAAAAAAUAUAUAUAUAUAUAUAUAUAAAUAAAUGUUGAAUUGUUAAACUAAAAACUGUAAUGAAUUUGUAUUUAUUAUCGGUGUUGGAGAUGUGAUGGUGACGGUGAUGGUGAUGAAACGCUGGAUCGGUUCCGGAUCGGAUUUUCUGCUUUAACUCUUUCACUAGUAGCUGAUACUCGGAGCGCUGAUUUUUGGAAACGUGGAGGGAAUGUAAAGCCGUAAAGAGAUUAGUGGAUAGUGAAUAGUCAUUUUUAGUUAUACUGAAGUCAGGGUGUGGUCUGAGACUGUGUGUGUGUGUGUGUGCGUGUGCGUGUGUAAGAGAGAGAGAGAUAAAGUUGCACAGUAAUCCUGUUUAAUGAAACUCAUUUCUCUGUAAUCCACUGACAACUCAAAUGAUACGCACACACACACACACACACACACACACCGCACCACCCUGUGUGUGUGUGUGUGUGUACAGUAUCUGCAUAGAACUUGUAUGAGAGGUUCCCAUAACCGUGUGUGUUUUUAACAUCUCGGUAUAAACACUGAACCUUUCCUUUCUUCCCCUCACACGUUGACGGCCGACCCGUCUGUUUCUUCCUGACCCACGACUAAAACCGGCUCCGCUUUUGGCAGCAUGAGUCUUGCUUCCCACCUGCGGCUCACCUCACACGCUCGAGUCGUAUCCUUCCAUCUUGUUUUCCGUCCUCUGAGCCUUAUUUUGUUGAAAUGUGCAUAUUCAGGAACGUGGAGGCUUCUAGUGUUUCACUGCCUCGGUGUGCGACUUCCACUGGAACGGAGUUUCACCUUUUAUAGCCGUUCGCUGGUCCUAAAUCACUCACUGUGUGUGUGUGUGUGUGUGUGUGUGUGUGUGUGAGAGAGAGAGAGAGAGAGAGAGAGAACUUAUGUUCCUGAUCUUGAUUUGAUUGAUUGAGCGCUGCAUUAACCGCUACAGAAAUUAAUUGAGCUUCUCUUCAACGUCUUGCGUCCCUCCAUUACCCCCCACCCCUCCUCCCCCCUCCCCCAGGAGGCAGCUUGCGGUCGCUUUUUCAUGAUUGGUCGAGCGACUGAAGUGUUUUGGUUGAAAUAUGGCCAGGCCGUCACUCCCUCUACCUGCCGCUUAUCUCUCUGCAGAAAUUCACGACGUGGAUCUCUGGCCCUCGCCCAGAUCAGAUUUGCAUAUCACCCUGUGUUCAGAGAGCCAGGAGCCUCGAUUCGAUCGAGAUAAAGUCGUUAAAGGUGGAAGUGGCGAGGACUGGCGUGUAAAGAUCAGAGCGGAUCGCACGCAGCUUGCAGACCAAACCCUCAGCAGCUUCUCACACGCAACAAGGGACAAACACCGUUUUUUGUUUACUUUCUCAUCAGGAAAUGCUUUUUCAGUUUUUAUCUCGUGAUAAGUGCGUGAUACGAAACAUCAUGGGUAGUCUUUCAAACCCAGAGACGUCGUAAAUCCGCCAGGUUGUACAGAUUUACACUGAGAAAAUGGCCUGUUUUUUAAAAAUUUCAUCAGACCGAAUAGUUUUCAUUUUAUAACGAAUUUAAAACCCGUUUGGGUGAAAUGAGAGAUUCUUAUCUGGCAACCCUAAAGGACGAGUUUCCACUGAUAUCAUCUUACAAAAGAACACUUCACGACCCGAUACAAGUUACGAUAUUAACUUGCUAGCUAGCUAUCUAGAGGUGAUGUAGCGUAUGUACAGUUACUGAAUCGAUAGAUUCUAAGCUAGCUAGCUAUCUAGAGGUGAUGUAGCGUAUGUACAGUUACUGAAUCGAUAGAUUCUAAGCUAGCUAGCUAUCUAGAGGUGAUGUAGCAUAUGUAUAGUUACUGAAUUGAUAGAUGAACCACUUUAUUCAAUACCAUAUUUUACCAAACGCUUUAUUUUAUACAGUAGAAUAGAUUUUAGCUAACUACCAAGUUGACUAGCUAGCUUAUUCAUUGGCAAGCUAACACAAGCUGAUGAUUUCAGUCUGAUCCUGUCUAAAAUAAUGGGGUGUAAUGUUUUGGACUGAUGCGUCAAAGUAAAAGGGAAACGUAGAAAUGAAUCGCAACAGCUUGUGUGUAAAAAUAAAUAAAUAAAUAAUCUGAUUUUUAAACUGUAAACAGGCUAGCAAGGUGAUUUACCAUUCUGUACAUCAUCAUCGUUCUUGAAUUAACGUUACUCCUACCCCAGAUUCUGAACAAAGUCGGUCACGUAUCAAUCACGUAUCGACGCAGACUCGACGUCUGAGGUUAAGAGACCUACUCUGAAUGUUACAACAAACAGAAUGAAGGGAUCGACUGUAUUUUGGGAGCACAAACCUUGCCAAAAUCUCCCUAGCAAUCUUGCGCAUGUGAAUUUUUGUGACUUAUAAUCAGUCACGGCCUCACGUCUGUCCCCGGAGCCUGUUGCUACUCGUUUUACGUUUCUGAAACGUGAAAGUCGUGUGCGUGUAAUCGUCUCGGAAAUGCCCUCGGGUUGUAUUGCGCACAGCUAGAUCUGACGUUCCAGCUUUCCCUUCAUUCCGAAGCUGCUUUAUCUCCAGCGUUUUAUUGGACUGACUGUAUAUCUAUGGCCGUUUAUGAGCCUCUCCGUAUUUGGACGCCUGAACAGGGCCAACAAUAACACGGCAUAUUAAUUGCUAACUCUCUGGCUUGCUGGCUUUGUGUGCGCUUGGCAUCGGGUGGGAAGGCCAUUAAUCUCACCCGGCGAACAAGGGGACGCUCUCAAUGGAUGCUGUUCCGCCCAUUUUAUGCUUCAUUCUCAAAACCUGGAAAGCCACUAAAGAGUGUGAGAAAGAAAGAGGUUCCUCUUAACUUGAUCUUUCCGAAGCGUGACCGGAGACCCUGAUAGAGAGAUCUUGGCAUCGGUGGACGAGGGAAGGAGUGCAUUUUACCCACUGCUGAAACCAAAUGGGGGUUUAAACGUAUUUGUGCUUGUUCUUGUACAGUUUGUGCGCUGUUUAAUCGCUUGUCACUUGAGUUUGCACCAAAGUGUUACGAAGUCUAAUGAUAGAGUGGGGUUUGUCAACAUUAAGUUGUAAGCUUAAACGCAAAGUACAGCUGGAAGACACGUCAGGCGUGGGUAUAAUGGAAUUUUGGCAUUAAAUAUGUGUUGGGGUGUACAGGGGUGCACAUUUUUGGCGUGUUGAAAAGCCAGAACCUCGAGUGUCGAUGUGGGGUUCUUCCUGGUUCUCUGGUUUCCUCCCACCUCCCAAAAACAUUGGCAGUGGUUUGGAAAAUCUCUAAAUUUCCCCUGGGUAUAAAUCCGUGUAUAGAGUGGUUACUGGAGGCCAUUUACUUUUUCACUAUGUCGAAGUUGUUAUUCUUUGAGCCCAACAGGAAAAUGGCGCCUUCGUUUUAAACGUCCUUCUUCUCACGUGUCUUUGCCCAGAGGGACUGACAGCUUUGGGUCAGGGGUCAGCCACGAGGUCACAGUUUAGGAUGUCUGCCGUGUCAGUCAAGCACGAUUGGAUGGCGUGUCUGCCAAUCAAACCCCACUGGAACGAGCUCUGACAGGUUCUCAGGAUGGAGAUUUUUAUUAAGGUAGUCUGGGGCUGGAGGAUAUUAUCGGUCUGAUCUUGACGGACGUAAAUCUGCAGGUCUGUCUUUGUUGUUUAUCUUUUACCUGUAAUGUGUGAGAAGGGUAAAGGCAAGAGCACACCACCAUGACGUUCUUCAAUCUGUGUGUGAUUGCCGAGAAAUUUUUACACUGGUUUGUUCAGUCCUUUGGGCGUGUCUGCUCCUCUGCUAAACAUUCUACAGCUAAAUCUUUUUGCUUUUCUUUUUUGGUGUGUAGGGGAAAACAUGACCUUGCCUCCAAGCCCAAGUGUGUGCAGGACAUGUGUGCACGAUGUCAUAUAAGGGUACGACUUGCUCGUGCCCCAGAGCUCACCCCACGGCUCAGAGGAUUAAUGUCAGUCUGUGCAGACAGCAGAGGAAAGAGAUUGAUUCUAUUACAGGAGCUUUCUACAGCUCGGGAACGCAGCAGGGGACUGCAGACCAAGGUAGAGAGGAAGUGACCAAAUCUUGCCCUCGGGUUGAACAUGGAGACUUGAUGCCAAGUUUGCUCAAAUAACAUCACAGACCUGCUGAAAAGGCAACGAAGCAAUUGGGAAUAUGAAAAUAGAAUAUUGUGUGUGCAUGAUUAUGGGUGUAGUGAUGCACAGAAGCACCGAUGUAUUCAUUGUAGUGUUGGGAUUUUUAAAAAAAAAUUGGGUUAGUCAGAAAAUCUGACUAGGGUUCCUCAAGGGUUCUUGGGAUGGUUUCUAAAGCUUUCUAAAGGUGUUUUGGAUCAUUAUGUGAAAAGACAAGCCAUCUGUUGUAGAGUAGGGUUCUACACCGAAUCUUCAAGGGUUCCUGCUGAUGCUACAAACCAAAUUACCAUUUAGGGCUUUCUAAAGGUGCUUUGUAACCUUUUAUGAAAGAAAAACCAUCUGUUAUAGGGUUCUAUGUAGAAUGCUUACGUGUUCCCACCAGGGGUACAAACUGUUGGACUCCUUAUGGCUUUCUCAAGAUGUUUUGGAACCUUUAAUGAAAGAGAAAUCAUCUGUUUUAGGGUUCUUUUCAAGGGUACAAACCAAAGGCCCGCUUACGGUUUCUAAAGGCACUUUGGAACCUUCCUUAAUAAAGACACCUUCUGUUGUAGGGUUCUACAUAGGAUUUUUUUAAUGGUGCCCACUGGGGGUUCAAACUGAAGGACCACUCGGGGCUUUCUAAAGGUGUUUUGGGUCAUUUUAUGAAAGAGAAGUCAUCUUUGUAGGGUUCGACAUAGAAUCGUUAAAGGGUCCGACUAGGGGUACAAACCGAAGAACCCUUAAUGGCCUUCUAAAGGUUCUUUAGAACCCUUUAUGAAAGAUAGAGUUGAAGGGUUCUCGUCAGGGAUGCAAAAUGAAGGACCGUUUAAGGCUUUUUAAAGAUGUUGUGGAAUCUUUUAUCAAAGAGAAAUCAUCUCUUCUAGGUUCUACAUAAUAUCUCUAAGGUAGUGCAAAACGAAGAACCAUAUAGGGUGCUAAAUGUGUGUAAAAAAUUAUUAUUAUUAUUAUUAUUAUUAUUAUUAUUAAAGGUUUUCCUCAAAAUUCCAGUGCAUCAUUUAACUGUUCUCAGCUUCCUAAUGAUGUACUAUUACCUGGGAACCAUCUCUGAUAUGGGUUUGCAUACGGUUAUUUAAGAAACCUUCAAUUAAUUUUACAAGUGGAGUGUAUGUUUAACGUGGUUACUAACCUGUCCAUCCAAUCCAUGUGUCUGAAGAUAAAUUCGGAGCUUUUAAAACAAGUCAACAGCACGAAACAUACUCCGAGACGUGGAAGAUAGUGAGACGUGGGAUGUCCCUCUUGGAGAAUCCCACAUAGAACCCUACAAAAAAUGUGUCAGAAAGGAUUUCACGGAUGCUACAAACCCUGAACUACCCCAAAACCUUGAAGAACCCUUUGUUUACCCUCAGAGUGUAGCACCUUCAAGAUGAGGCCAAAUUAAGCCAUGAAGUUCUGGAUGUCUGGUGGAGGAUUUGGAUGAUGAAAGCCUUGGACGGGGGAGGCAGUGGACUUGCAUGCCAAUGCUUAACUUAAAAAAAAAAAAAAAAAAAAACAGGAGGGGGAAAAAAGCUGUGGAAUUAUGGGACCACUCUAAUCUGUGCAGAUGUUUAGGAAGACGAAUGGAGCUCCGAUCUUGCCUAUGCCCUGCAAAGAACGAGGCCAAUGAACUCUUAAGUGCAUUUGGGAGUACACAUAGGAAGAGAAAUAUGGCUUGGCUGGUGUCCUAAUAUUCCACAGGGUUCUCACUAAAUUCCCAGUGUAGCGCAGAUAAAGCCCAGCGGAGUCAGGGGCUCUGGGUUACGUCUCAAUGUUUAAUCUAAGUCUCAUAUGGGAUUGAUUUUAUACGGGGUUUGGAAGCUUUGAAUUAUAGACGUCACAGUAAAUAAAAACCUCUUCACUUUUCUACGGUGUAUUUUUAAAUAAAAAAAUACAUUUUUUUGCCAAAGUUUUUUCUUUGUUUUGAAAAAUGUACGGGUAAAAUUUACCUUCACAGACAUAUUCGAAAUGAUGGAUUACAGUUUUGAAGAAAAAAAAAAAAAAAAAACCCUCUGAAUCCUAAAUACAAAUGUUCAAAUCUGCUAGCGUCCACGACGUGAAAUGAAUUGAAGAGAUGUGGAGUAGAGUCGAGUCAAAAUGGAUGAUGUAAUCUUCCACUUAGCAAGUUCAAAACAAAGAAAAAGCACUGUACAAUUUACGAAAUAAACCACAGAGAAAAGCUCAUUUUCUUUACAAAGGUCGAGAUAUAAUGCAUGAAGCAAAAGCCUAAAAUCUAGCCGGUUGCCUUUUUCCAAAGUCGUACUCUCAGUGGGGGUUUUCUGAAGGAUUUGGAAGAAAGUUGAAUGUUGAAACGUGAAUCUUUCUGUGAAACGGCACUGAAUCGUUUCGGUUCUCUCUGCUCGUUGUGCUCCGGGGGAAUGGGAGUCGGGCGUAUUGAGUGUUUUCUGGUUGGACGCAUGGCUCUGGGAAAACAAGAUGAUUUCCAACAAUUGCUAAAUGCCUCUGGGAUCUGUGUGACCCACUGUGUUCGUGUGUUUCUGAUUGAUGAACUCGCUCGAAGUGAAUUUUAUAUUGGACAGGGAUGGCAGUUUGUCCCAGUUUGCCUUGUGACCUCACAAUGGAGGCCAAUGUUGUUGUUAUUUUUUUUCUUUUUACAUCAUUACUCGGUCGUGGAAAUCGAUAGAACCUUUGGGAAAACCUUUCUAUUCUCUCUAACCGCGUCCUCUGCACAGAAACGCCGUCCUGGGAGCUUUACGACGCCACGUAUGUGUCCGAGAUCGAUUUGUCCACGGCUUCCAUGUGUCUCCGUUUCUGCUCGGAGUCUGACAGUAGUGUUUCGGAGAGCUCUGGGUAACUUCUUGUCAUCUGAGGCUUUAGUUCGGGUGAUGGAGCUUCAUUAUCUGUCUCAGACGGGCUUGUUAAGUGAGUGACACUGAAGGAACUUGCGUCUGUGUGCCUCGGACGUCUAAUCACGCAGUUGAUAAGCGUGGUAACGAUAACAGCAGAGAUAACUCUGAUGGACUUCUCUAAGUGGCUAAUAAGAGAGGCUUACGGUGUCAGGGAUGGAAAGAAGACCACCAAAGGUGUGGUGUCCGUUCAGCUUCUUGAACUAUAAAAAAAACAAAUCCUAAUCUUAAGAACAUUUUUUUUUAAUCCUUGGCUGAGAUAGAAAAAGGUCAUGGACUGAUGCAGAGAUGAUGAGGUAGAGUCUGAUUUUUGGAUGGAACAGCAAGUGUAAGAUCUGUGAUUAUCCGCUGCUUUUCUGGUGAUGUCAUCUUUAUGGAAGAUUUAAGAAAAAGCUAAAUGGAUAUAUAUUAGGAUCAAGAGUCGUGUUCGAGUGGCUGUUGUUGUUGUUGCUUCUGGGAUUUGAACUCACAACCUUAACCACUGUGGCGUAAUACUCGACCCAGUACUGUGAAGCAGGGAUGCACACCAGAGCAAACACUCUACAUUCCAAAGUUCUUUCACACCAAACUUCAGGAUGUGAAACGUGGAUUUUUCCAGACCGGACAGCUAUGCUAAGCUAACACGCUAAGCCUGCACCCUGUUGACUUGCUGUUGAUCAUCAUUAAAAUUGGCCCACUUAAGAGAAUCACUUAAGAGUGCUCAGUCGCUCACGAUCGAUCUCUGGAUUGUGUUCAUGGAGCCAAACGAGGCCAGCUGGAUGUUUUUUAUUGAUUCAGCGGUGUCAAGGGCCGAGAGCCACCUCACUUGUCCCUGCUGAACAGUCAGUCUUGUGGAUGUUCUGGUUCAUAGCCUGAACGUAUCAAAGCACAGUUAAAAAAAAAAAGCAAAACCCAACAACAAAGGUAAUUCACCCAGCAGCAGUUUGCAACACAAACGAGAAUGAAAAACGGUUCUUUUCCCGUCGUGUGGAUCACCUGCUCACCGAACACCGAGCGGUGACGAAUUGCACCAAUCUGAGGCCCCGUUUCGAGUUUAAACGCUCUCAGAUCUCCUAAGAUAACAUAACAAAUAGCAGAUUGAACCCACUAAUUGUGGCAUGUUUUUGCGGUGAAAAUGUAACAUUCUAUACCUUAUCAUUUUUUCCCCCUUCUAUUUGAAUUCAUCUCGCUAUUCAGAAGUGAGAUUCAACCUGAGGCUUAAAAGCGCCAACGCAUGACAUCAUCUAACACACGUGCGCAAACACGCGGCUUGUGGGUCGAGUGUUAAUGGCGUCCUGAGAAAAGACUGAUUACAGACUGAGUGCACGUGCUAUCAUUAUGUAUAGUGACUUGAAGUUAACGUUUCAGCCUCCUGUAGCCGGGUCUUUUCGUUUUACUGGGUACAAGGCCAUUGUACAUCUGAAAACUACUACAAGGGCAAAGGAUGCAGGAUGGAGAAACACUUCUAAUCGCGGUUACUAUGAGUCCUAGAUGCAGAACCAAAACUCCAGGGGGUGGAGCUGGACCAGAUCCAACUCCUCCUCCGAACCCUAACUUAGGAGAUGCUGUACAACACGGAACAAGAAACCCUUUGACUUGUCCACACACACCGGAUGUUUGGUCCAGCUUUACCAAGGUAGGAGGAGCUGAUCAGGUCCGACUCCACCCCCUUAACUUUUGGUCCUACAGCGAGGGGUACUUUUGCUUUGCACCAAUUUUAUCUAGCUAAUGCAUGCUAGGCUUUUCUUUUCAGCAAUGUCAGCACCAUAACAAUGGCUCAAUAAUUCACGUAGCCUUUUUGCUGACACUUCGUUAAUUUGCUUGAAAUUUCCCACACACCGAGAAGGACACAGAUCCGGAGUCUGUCUGAUAGACCUGCUCCUCUUCAGCCUGUCCCCGCUAUUAGGGACACUCUGUCUGAGAGCAGAAGCCAGAGAUAGACAGGCUUUUGUUCACACGCGCAUGAUUGUCCUCGUUCUCACUCUGCCGCUUGUCUUUGCUGUGGUCACGAUGGAAGGAGAUUACAGACCACAAGCAGCGAGCAGCUAAGUCGGCUUGACCCGGGAUACCCCCACGCUUAUCAUGUCUGCAGUGUCCUCUUCUCUCCUCUUCUCUCCUCUUCUCUUCCUGUUUCAUUCAGUGGUCAGGGAUGCUUAAGGUAUCUACUGGGAGUGUUUGUUGGAUUCGGAUGGAAACUGAGCCCCAGGUGGGUGAUGGGCGUGUCUUGUUUUCUAGUCUAGAUUUCUCUCCACCUCUUGCUUGAGGGUGUCGUGGCACUCCAGUUUCGACCGUGAUGGGGGUGACCUUGACAAGACGUUGCUAAUGUGAGACGGAGGAAAGGGGCUGGGCGUUCCAGUGGGUCAGUUAAUAUUGGAGAGUUCAGAACACCUAUGCAACUGUUAAUCAUUCAAGAUUCAAAAGUUGACUGGCUCAUGUGCUGUUUUCACGGUGGACUGAGUGAUAACUCGUAAUGGCAUAUCCUCUUAGGAUAGUUGUGUCUACUUGAACAAAAAACGGUCUAACCUGCAACCAAGUGCUAACCUGGAACUUAUGACAUUUACAAACCGUCUUCGCUUCUUAUUGGGCAGCGGUAGCUCAGUGGUUAAGAUUGGAAGGUUGCGAGUUCAAACCCCAGCAAUUCCAAGCCUCCAGUUCUGGGCCCUUACCCCUCAACCGCUCUGUUGUAGAAACCAGAUAAAUGUAAGUCACUCUGGAUAAGGACGUCUGCCAUAAAUGUAAAUGUUUUUUUUUUUAUUUAUUUUUUUUUUACAGAACCCCAAACAGAGGUAAUUCUCACCAGACUGAUCCGUACUAGUUAACCCUUCAGGAACGCCCUAGUAGAUUAAGGGUUAACACCAGGCACGCUUUCCUUUCCCAUGGGAGUGUGGUGGUGUUGACGAGGGGCUCCGUUUGUUAGCAGCUAAUCGCCUUCCUCACGGAUGAGUGGCUCCUGAAAGUGACUCAGAAAAAUGAUCGGAUGGAUGGCCCUGUUGACACGAGCGUGUGAAACCCCCCCAAAAAAAAGAAGCCCAGAGUAAUCUCACUUCCUUCCUGUUCGGUCUGGGAAACCGGGUUGAUCAUUGGUCCUCGUUGGCACCUGGCUCUUCCCCGAUAGGCCAACGGUGCAUGUCAUCCUAUCAGCUCUGUCUAUUUAGAAGGAAAAAAAAAACGAAAGAAUGUCGUGGACAGAAAAGCGCCCGAAGCCUGCCGCCCACGGGCAUGAGAGGAAAAGCUGACGCUGGGAUUUUAGAGGAAAGAUCUCACUCGAACACACAAUGGCUACCAAACAGGAAGUGGCAGAACAAUCUUUCGCCCACUCCGGCCGUGUUGUGACCUCCAGGGCUGCAGCAGCGAUAACCCGGCAUUCCUGAAACCUCGCUGGGUAGGACGCUGGGAGCUUUCUCUUGCUCCCGGGUCACCGGAGGUCACCUUCCUGCUUCUUUUACGGCUGUAAAUCAGUCGCGCUCCUUGUAUUCGUUCAGUCUACAUCAUUUAACAAAUAUUAGUCAAUGAGCUGAGAUGACGUACAAUGUGCGAGACUCCCAGUUUUACACCGGAACACUUUAACACUGUACAAGCUUUCACAGUCUUCAAAACAUUUACAAUGCAACGACAGUUUGAAUAAUUAGAUGGGAUUGCAACAACUUAAUGACGAUUUCUCACACAGCUAAAGAGCUUAUGGUUUGAAAUAAUAUAUUGGCGAAUAAAUAACGGAAUGAAAACAGCACUCAGACUUUUGGACGCUACCGUACGUCCACCCCUGGGAUGUCACAGGAUGAAGUGAAGUGUUGUAGAAACCGGGGCGAAAAAAAGCUGACCUCCUGAAAGUUCACCUCCGUGUCCUCAAUAAAACUCCCUAACGCUACGCCCCACCCCUUCCUGUUCCAGUUUCCGACUCGGCUGUACCUCGUAUCUCCCACUUUCCUCUUGUCCUUGUCAUGUUUAUUUGCGGAGGGCAUUGUGUGCUUGUUAGCCGUGAUGUAUUGUCUUCAUCCUGCUAAACAAUGCUGCCGAUUGCUUCCUGGGAAUGUUUAAGGACACGGACACAGGCGUCCUCCGUCUUGGUGCGAACUCGCAUGGCCUCGGUGUCACAAUCCGACAGCUCCAGAGGAAACGCGUGGGAUCUUGUACAGGAAAUGGACGCGAACAGGGGAGUAACGAAGACUUUGAUAACAGGAAAUGAUUCAUUCAAAAUGUCAAAACCGGUAUUAAAAGGAAUAAAAUAAUAAUUGAUGAGACACGGAAAUCAGGGAUUCCUGGCCAUGUGAAUCUAAUCAUAAGAGAGGAUCGAUGAUCCUUCACUUCAGUCUUGGAAUGAUCAAAGUCCCUGACUUUGAGACAUGGAUACGGGCGGGAUAUGGUCCUGGGGCGGCUGUGGAUCAGGUGGUAGAGCGGGUUGUCCAGUUAUCGUAGGGUUUGCGGUUCGAUUCCCGGCUCACGUGACUCCACAUACCGAAGUGUCCUUGGGCGAGACCCUGAACCCCAAGUUGCUCCCGAUGGCAAGUUAGCGCCCUGCAUGGCAGCUCUGCUCCCAUUGGUGUGUGAGUGUGUGUGUGAACGGCUGAAUGAGUGUAAAGCGCUUUGUAGAACCGCCAAGGUUAAAAAAAAAAGCGCUACAUAAAUGCAGACCAUUUACUGUAAGCUCACGUCACCUUAAGCGACACAAUGAAUAAUAAUUUGUGGCUUGUGAAAUAUUAAUAUGCGGUUUGAAUAUGUUCAUUUGUGUAACCACCAUGUCACCUCAGAUGCGUCUUCAUUUCCUUUUCAGAACGUUUCUGGUCUGAAUUCCGAACACGCGCGAUCGGAAGUGCGCGUCAUGUUUCCAGACGAUCAUAAACGAUGCUCCGUUGCAUGUCACACACUGUUAAACGAUGCUCGUUACACACUCGCGAGUGAGCAGGCGGCGUUUUCGGGGCAGUGUUUGUG
This is a long non-coding RNA of Ictalurus punctatus (channel catfish), 17035 nucleotides long. The record is from Ensembl. NCBI's taxonomy places the organism in Eukaryota, Metazoa, Chordata, Actinopteri, Siluriformes, Ictaluridae.